AUGUGGAGGAAAGUAGGGGAAAUGGCCGAUACUACUGGAAGAAUUUCUCUUUGGCUGAUAGGUACUAUAGAUGGUAUUGCUGUGAUUGGUUUAGUAGGUGUUUUCUUUUAUGGUUCAUAUUCUGGAUUGGGUUCAUCCCUAUAG
RNAcentral lists this ribosomal RNA (144 nucleotides) under Triticum aestivum (bread wheat). Its description in RNAcentral is "partial small subunit ribosomal RNA". Lineage: Eukaryota; Viridiplantae; Streptophyta; Magnoliopsida; Poales; Poaceae. The record is from RNAcentral.